This 317-nucleotide long non-coding RNA is filed under the name Vigna radiata. RNAcentral's name for it is "long non-coding RNA (VRAD_LNC006869)". Lineage: Eukaryota; Viridiplantae; Streptophyta; Magnoliopsida; Fabales; Fabaceae. The record is from RNAcentral.
GGAGGUGUAGGGUAUUUUUGGAAUAAAAUAAAAUAGUGGGGAGGUGUAGAAUAUUUUUGAAAUAAAUUAAAAUAAUGAGGAGGUGCAGGACCCACUUGGAGAGGUGGAGGGAGCAACACCCUAAUUCUAGUCAUAUGUUCUCUUCUAGUAUAUUUAAUGUGUGAUUUUAUAAAUGUUAAAAUGAUGCUUGAUUUAUGAUGUUUAUUUGAGAAUGGUUGGUGAUAACUCAAGAAGGAUUGAUUAUGGUUUUGUUAGUGUACACAUUAACAUAUGGGAGGUCAAUAAGGAGGUAUCCUUAACUUUAAUAAUUAUUCACA